Molecule: ribosomal RNA, 1315 nt
Filed under: Pseudarthrobacter sp.
Lineage: Bacteria; Bacillati; Actinomycetota; Actinomycetes; Micrococcales; Micrococcaceae
Description: bacterial SSU rRNA
Rfam family: Bacterial small subunit ribosomal RNA
Source: RNAcentral
CCAGCUUGCUGGGGGGAUUAGUGGCGAACGGGUGNGUAACACGUGAGUAACCUGCCCUUAACUCUGGGAUAAGCCUGGGAAACUGGGUCUAAUACCGGAUAUGACUCCUCAUCGCAUGGUGGGGGGUGGAAAGCUUUUUGUGGUUUUGGAUGGACUCGCGGCCUAUCAGCUUGUUGGUGAGGUAAUGGCUCACCAAGGCGACGACGGGUAGCCGGCCUGAGAGGGUGACCGGCCACACUGGGACUGAGACACGGCCCAGACUCCUACGGGAGGCAGCAGUGGGGAAUAUUGCACAAUGGGCGGAAGCCUGAUGCAGCGACGCCGCGUGAGGGAUGACGGCCUUCGGGUUGUAAACCUCUUUCAGUAGGGAAGAAGCGAAAGUGACGGUACCUGCAGAAGAAGCGCCGGCUAACUACGUGCCAGCAGCCGCGGUAAUACGUAGGGCGCAAGCGUUAUCCGGAAUUAUUGGGCGUAAAGAGCUCGUAGGCGGUUUGUCGCGUCUGCCGUGAAAGUCCGGGGCUCAACUCCGGAUCUGCGGUGGGUACGGGCAGACUAGAGUGAUGUAGGGGAGACUGGAAUUCCUGGUGUAGCGGUGAAAUGCGCAGAUAUCAGGAGGAACACCGAUGGCGAAGGCAGGUCUCUGGGCAUUAACUGACGCUGAGGAGCGAAAGCAUGGGGAGCGAACAGGAUUAGAUACCCUGGUAGUCCAUGCCGUAAACGUUGGGCACUAGGUGUGGGGGACAUUCCACGUUUUCCGCGCCGUAGCUAACGCAUUAAGUGCCCCGCCCUGGGGAGUACGGCCGCAAGGCUAAAACUCAAAGGAAUUGACGGGGGCCCGCACAAGCGGCGGAGCAUGCGGAUUAAUUCGAUGCAACGCGAAGAACCUUACCAAGGCUUGACAUGGACUGGAAAUACCUGGAAACAGGUGCCCCGCUUGCGGUCGGUUCACAGGUGGUGCAUGGUUGUCGUCAGCUCGUGUCGUGAGAUGUUGGGUUAAGUCCCGCAACGAGCGCAACCCUCGUUCUAUGUUGCCAGCGCGUGAUGGCGGGGACUCAUAGGAGACUGCCGGGGUCAACUCGGAGGAAGGUGGGGACGACGUCAAAUCAUCAUGCUCCUUAUGUCUUGGGCUUCACGCAUGCUACAAUGGCCGGUACAAAGGGUUGCGAUACUGUGAGGUGGAGCUAAUCCCAAAAAGCCGGUCUCAGUUCGGAUUGGGGUCUGCAACUCGACCCCAUGAAGUCGGAGUCGCUAGUAAUCGCAGAUCAGCAACGCUGCGGUGAAUACGUUCCCGGGCCUUGUACACACCGCCCGUCAA